AAGGCUCAGUGGCAGAGUAUUUGCCUGGCAUGCACAAAGUCCAAGGCUCAAUUCCUUGU
This 59-nucleotide transfer RNA is filed under the name Dipodomys ordii (Ord's kangaroo rat). It matches the Rfam family "tRNA", at positions 7 to 64 of the family's 71-position model. From Rfam's summary of the family: Transfer RNA (tRNA) molecules are approximately 80 nucleotides in length. Their secondary structure includes four short double-helical elements and three loops (D, anti-codon, and T loops). The record is from Rfam by way of RNAcentral. Lineage: Eukaryota; Metazoa; Chordata; Mammalia; Rodentia; Heteromyidae.